GGAACCAUUAGAGAGGAAUGGACUAUUAGGCCCACGAGAUCGUCGACCCAUUGGUAGUCACUAAAGGCAUGGUGGUCGCAUUCGUGGCCUAUGACCCAAGCUCCGGUUAGGACACAUCCUUGGAUGGCAAUGUAGGCGGCCCAGCCAAAGUAGUUGAGGGGAUGGGGAAGGAACUGGUCGAUGUAAUUAGUGGCAAUGUAGUAGAGGGAGUAGGCCAUGAGGAGAUCUUGAAUGAGGUAGCGGAAUGAGGUGACGAGGGAUUUUUGGAAGCAAUGGGCUGGAAUGGCUUUUUUAAGGUCUCCUAUGGUGAAGGGAGGUUUGUCGUGAGGGGCUCGGCGAAGGGCUUCGGCUUGUGUCUUUUUGUUGGCAUUAGGGGGAGCUGACAUACGCCCACCUGCACCCAUUUUUCGGAUAUAUUGGCCUGCCUGCAAUUAGGAAGAUGAAAAUGUACCAUAUUAAGCACAGAACAUAUGUCAUUGUACAUUUAUAUGUGCUAAGCUGGAUAAUAAGAUAGAGAUAUCAUAAGAAAUUCCAAAAAAAAAAAAUUAACACAGGUUCAUCUUUUUCCUAUAGAAACCUAUAUGAAAUUUGUUUUAUUUUAACAUGUGAAACCUAUACUAUUGUUUGUUGGAUUUUUUCUAAUAAUGAAUUAGACGAAGAAAAGACUUGAAGCUAACAUAUUUAGAUAACGUUUGAUCAGUGUAUGAAAAUAAUACCCGAAAGAGAAGCUUUUGCUGGUCUCUUCCUCUGCCUUUGUUUCUGUGUUAUGUUGCUGCUGCUCUUACUAAGUUCCCCCACAACUUCACUAUUUAUAUAGAAAGUCUUUGUAAGCUAUAAGAUGACCCACUAGGUAAUGUCUAAAGCAGCUUGAAGCGCUCGCCCGCCAGCCCGCCACUCGGUAGCUGUCUGGACUUUGUGCUUAAUUUCUUUCUUUUACUAUGUUUCCUAGAUGUUUGUUGGUGUUUGGUACUAGUAGUAGUGUAAAAUUAGGGCGGGAGUCAUUUCUCAGUCCUAAAGGGCUGCUUAAAUUGCUAGAAUUUCAGUCCAUAUUGGCGACUACAUUUAAAAAUAAUAAUCUUUUUCAGCUUUUUUAGUCAUGCAUUGGAGGUUCAACUAAUUAGGGAUAUGGGCAAUCUUCUCUUAUAUGUUGGCUGUUGCACUCAAUGAUUACUCCAAUUUGUUUUUUUAUUCACCCUCUACUAUAAUUUUUUUUUUUAUUUUUAAUGCAAGUUCGAAUCAACAUUUAAAAUUGGCUAAGUAUUAGAUAUUUAAUUAAUUUCAUCUAACGUACUAAAGUUCUAACAAUAAAAGAUCACUGUUUUAUACUGAAAGUCAAGCGGUAACUAAGAAAUAUAGAACUAAUUAAUUAAUUUCAUCCUUGUUUGAAUACUCCAAAAUGAAGAAUACCAUUUUAACAUAUUUGACACAUGGGCCUAAUCUCCCAACUGAAUAAUGUUCCAACAAUUUAUUUAAAAAUCUUAUUCUUCAGUCAGGCAGGCACUGGCGUGCUCUAGUCUAGUGCAUUGUCAGUCAACUUUGCUGUACUAAUUUGACUGAAGACCCUAUUGACUUGGGAAAGUAUGUUUGUUAGCAUCAUUCACUUCAGGCUAUCACAUAUAUAUAACUACAACCCAAAGUUGUGGACUUCAGCAAAUUAAUUAAGCCAAACAUUUACCAAAUCCAGCAACAAACAAAGCUAGAGAGAACUAGCUAGCUAGCUUGUAUUUCCACUGAAAAAGUCAAAUACAUUUAGGCCAUUCCACAAUGGGUAAAGGUGGCCGUAUGCCCAUCGGCAACCAGGCGAAGCAAACCCAGAAAAAUGAAAAUAACAACAAUAAUAUUAUCCGUCGAGUCCCUCAUGAAAAACCACCAUUUACCCUCGCCGACAUCAAAAAAGCCAUUCCACACCAUUGCUUCAACCGUUCCCUCCUCCGCUCUUCCUCCUACCUCCUUCUCGACCUCGCUGUUUGCUUCCUCCUCUACUACAUUUCCACAACCUACAUUCCCCUCCUCCCUAAACCCCUCUCCUAUCUCGCUUGGACCGCUUAUGUUUAUGUCCAAGGUUGUUUCCUGUUCGCCGUAUGGGUAGUCGCCCACGAAUGUGGCCACCACGCCUUUAGCAACUACCACUUGCUAAAUGACACCCUUGGCUUCAUUCUCCAUUCCCUUCUCCUCGUCCCUUAUUUCUCUUGGAAAAUUAGCCACCGUCGCCACCACGCCAACACCAAUUCUCUGGACCGAGAUGAAAACCAUGUCCCGAGAUUCAAGGACACAAUAAGAUCAUAUUACCAUCACUUCAACAACCCGCUUGGCCGAGCAUUCAUCAUUGCAUUCACACUAACUUUAGGAUGGCCUUUGUAUUUAAUUGUAAACAUAGCGGGACGAUCUUAUGACCGUUUUGCAUCCCAUUUUGACCCCUAUAGUCCGAUUUAUUCCGACCGUGAGCGGGCUCAAAUCUUGUUGUCGGAUAUUGGUUUUCUUGCCACAGUUUACGGGCUCUAUCGGAUUGUACUCGUAAAAGGACUUUCAUGGGUAAUGCUAGUAUACGGAGCUCCGUUACAUGUGGUAAAUGGGUUUCUUGUGAUGAUAACUCUACUGCAUCACACUCAUGUAUCGUUGCCUCACUACGAUUCGUCCGAGUGGGAUUGGUUGAGGGGAGCGCUAGCUACUGUUGACAGGGACUAUGGAAUUCUGAACAAAGUGUUCCAUCACAUAGCGGAUACUCAUGUGCUCCACCAUUUGAUCUCUAGCAUUCCUCAUUAUCAUGCCCAAGAGGCGACUGAGGCGAUAAAGCCGGUAUUGGGGGAUUAUUACCAUUAUGACGGAACUCCAUUCUACAAGGCAAUGUGGAGAGAGGCAAAGGAAUGUCUGUAUGUUGAGGCAGAGGAAGGAGAGAAGAGCAAAGGUGUUUACUGGUACAAGAACAAGCUUUGAGUUCAAUCCAAUCCAUACAAAUUAUUAAAUGCUCUCUUUAGAACUAAAAGGGUACGUAGAAGACCUUGUAAUGGAGAAAUCUUGCCUUUCACUGCAUAUAUAUGUUGAAAUGAUUCAACAACAAGAAGUAUUUUCAGAGACGAGAAGUAUUUGCAUUUGAGGGUAUAAUUAAUAAUCUUACAAAAUAUGAGCUACACUAGAAUACCACUGGUGCGCCGAGGCAAAAAUUUCCAAAUUUCAAAUGUUAUGGAGUCAUUUAUUUUUUCUAUUUUUAUUUAUUUAAAAUAAUCACUGUAGAAAUUCAUAAAAUUACCUUUAAUUUAAUUAUUUUAAUAGCACGAGCUUCUUUCUAUUGAGCUAUUUAUGGUGAAAAAAUCUAUGACCAAUAAAGCUGCUGUUAAUUAAGUGUCAAAAGGGCAACAAAAUAGAUUAAAUGAACGAAUAUGCCUUUAAAUAUUAGCUGAGUUAUUUUAAAUAUUAUGAAAUUAAAUAACAUAAAUAAAUAUCUUAUAAUCCUUAUUAUACUCUCUCCGUUACAAAAAUAAUAAAAUUAACAUAAAAAUAAAAUAGUAAUCUAAAUAUAAAACUUAAGAUUUCUUUUUUUAUUUUAUAAACUCAGUAGUUACAUAAAAUAAAACUUAUGUUAUAAUAAACUCAGUAAUUAAUAACAUGAAAUAAACAUUAAUAGGACUCCAUCGAUCCUAACCUUAAUGGCUGGACUUGAUUUUUAAAACUUCAUAAGGUUUGCGUGGGGUGUGGGAUGUAGACAACCAAAUUUUAACUUCCACUACAAAAAAUUAAUUAGAGAGAGAGAGAUUAGUUGGACAGAUACUUCUGUGUAGGGCUAUAAAUUACAGGAAAAUAGGAUAUUAUUGGUAUUUGUUUAAAGCGGAUAUUAUUGGAUAUUAUUCACAUUCGAUUAAAUAUAUUUGUAAAUAAAUAGAUACGAAUACGAAUUUUGUAUCUAUUUAACAUCCGUCUAUCGACAGAUAUGCGGUUCAUAAUUCUUAGCAAAAAAACAGGUUUAUUAUAAAAUGAUAAUAUUUUUUUAAUAUCUUUCAUAAAUAUAUUUUAUUAAAUAGAGUGAUUGAUUUUUAUUUCUUUUGAAUUUUAUAAUUUAAUCAUAAGGUUGAUAAUUGUGUUAUGUUAUAUUAAUAUCAUAAUAGUAAUUUUUAAAAUUUUUAAAUAUUUAUUUACUAUUUAAUAUACUAUAUCAAAUAUGAAUAUGGAUGAAAUAUUUUUUUCAAAUACGAAUAAAUAUAGGGAAUUGUUAAAUACACAACAUAAAAUAUUAUUUACACAACAAAAGUGUUGCUAUAGAUCUUAUAGCGACGGUUUUCACCGAUGUAUAGAUCUUAUAGUGACGGUUUUCACCGUGUUAUACAUCUACAGCGACACUUUUGUUAUGAAAAUAAUAAAAAGUGUCGUGAAUUUAACCGUUUCCAUACAUAUAUCAUUGUAUUCGAAUUCAAAUACUUCCGUUUAAACCCCUACUUAAAGUAGAAUAAAUCAUUAAUUAACUCUCCUCGCUUAGCUCAAGUCGUCUUCUGGCCUGCUAAUCCUUAACAUAUACUCCAAUAGUUGAAACGCGUGCAGCACUAAGUGCAGAGAAUGGCCGGUGGGUUGCUUAGAGUUAGAGAAUUUGGUUACUAUUAAUCUAAUAUUACGCGCGUGCGUACUAAGGCAGCCAAGCCAGCCUCUGGGCUCUGGUCACACAACGUACCCUACAAACAUUAAUGGUGUGUUUUUGAUUGUAUGCUGUUUAUAUUCGUUACUCAAGUAUGCCGAAACAGGAGGAGCAUUAAUUCAAUAUAGAAACAAAAGGUAUAUAUUAACUGAAAUAUCACUUGCAAUGAAAACUACAUAAAUUAAAAUUAGAAAGAUAUUCUUGAACAACAGUAGAAAUUAAUAAAGACGUUGUUUUUCAACACUUUUAUCUUAUUACAGUGCAACAUUAAUAAUUGAAUGAACCAAUCUAAUUAUUAAUUAAACUGCUAGAAUUAAGGAAAAUUCUUUAUCAAGUACUUAGUCACAUCAGAAUUCAUUUCUGUACCAGUAUACUCCUCUCGUCUCACCUUCAUCUUUCUCAACGUAAAUGCAUUCCUUCAUUUCUCUAUACAUGGCCUUCACAAUUGGAGUUCCAUCAUAUUGAUAAUAAUCACCUAAUAUCGGCUUCAUUGCCUCCGUUGCUUCGAGUCCGUGAUAAUGAGGGAUCAUGGAGAAUAUAUGGUGACAAACAUGAGCAUUGCACACAUUAUGGAACACCUUGUUCAAAAUCCCGUAAUCUCUAUCAACUGUGCAUAGAGCUCCUCUCAACCAAUCCCACUCCGUAGAAUCAUAGUAAGGCAAAGAAGGAUGAGUGUGAUUAAGUAUGGUAAUCAACACGAACCAUCCGUUAACAACAAGCAAAGGACCUCCAUACACACAGAAAACCCAAGCAAAUCCUUUGAGUAACACGAGCCGAUAUAGACCAUAUAUGACGGCAAGAAUAGCAAUAUCAGAAAUAACAAUUUCCUUGCGCUCACGGUCAGAGUAAAGCGGACUAUGAGGAUCAUAAUGGGAAGUCCACCUUCCGUACUUGUGUCCAGAUACAUUGAACAUCAAGUAUAAAGGAAAACCAAUAAUAAGGGUGGUGAGCCACACGAGCACGCGGCCCGGAGGAUUGUUGAGCAUUUUGUAGUAGUUUCGGAUAUUGGACUUGAAUCUCGGGACAUAGACCUCGUCAUUGUCAAGAGAUUGAGUAUUGGCGUGGUGACGACGGUGGCUAAUUUUCCAAGAGAAAUAAGGGACCAAUAGGGAGGAAUGGACUAUUAGGCCCACGAGGUCGUCGACCCAUUGGUAGUCACUAAAGGCGUGGUGGUCGCAUUCGUGGCCUAUGACCCAAGCUCCGGUUAGUACACAACCUUGGACGGCAAUGUAAGCGGCCCAGCCUAAGUAGUUGAGGGGAUGGGGAAGGUAUUGGUCGAUGUAAUUGGUGGCAAUGUAAUAGAGGGAGUAGGCCAUGAGGAGAUCUUGAAUGAGGUAGCGGAAUGAGGUGACGAGGGAUUUUUGGAAGCAAUGGGCCGGAAUGGCUUUUUUAAGAUCUCCAAUGGUGAAGGGAGGUUUGUCGUGAGGGGCUCGGCGAAGGGCUUCGGCUUGUGUCUUCUUGUUGGCAUUAGGGGGAGCUGACAUACGCCCACCUGCACCCAUUUUCUUGGGUUUAUUGGCUUGCCUGAAAUUAGGAAAAGAAAAAUUUACCAUAUUAAUCACGGAGCUUAAUUAAGCGGGUAUACGUUUAUAUGUGCUAUUAAAGAUAGAGGCACCCAAAGAAAUUUUUAAAAAAUAGCACACAUGCAAAGUUUAACGAUGGUGCAUAAUAGGAAAAUGUUGCAUAUGUCGAACUUGUUUUGUUCCAACGGAUGCAACUUUCAAAUAUUUUAUUAAGAAAAGUUGCAUCCGCACAUACUGUUGUUCCAAAAUUUCUUCUGGUACAUGUAGUUUUAUCCAUACAUGAAAUUAAUAAAAUAUAUAUGUCUUGAAAAGCUCAAAUAUAUAUAUAUACAUACUGUUUGGCAAGUGUAAUUAAGAAA
This 6503-nucleotide long non-coding RNA is filed under the name Panax ginseng (ginseng). RNAcentral describes it as "long non-coding RNA (PGIN_LNC016925)". Lineage: Eukaryota; Viridiplantae; Streptophyta; Magnoliopsida; Apiales; Araliaceae. The record is from RNAcentral.